UGGGGAAUAUUGGACAAUGGGGGCAACCCUGAUCCAGCAAUGCCGCGUGUGUGAAGAAGGCCUUCGGGUUGUAAAGCACUUUCAGUGGGGACAAACAAGGCGGAGCUAACACCUCCGUCCCUGAUGGUACCCACAGAAGAAGGUCCGGCCAACUACGUGCCAGCAGCCGCGGUAAGACGUAGGGACCGAGCGUUGUCCGGAUUUAUUGGGCGUAAAGAGCUCGUAGGCGGUUGCGUAAGUCGGAUGUGAAAACUUGAGGCUCAACCUCAAGACGCCAUCCGAUACUGCGCUGACUUGAAUCCAGUAGGGGAGUGUGGAAUUCCUGGUGUAGCGGUGAAAUGCGCAGAUAUCAGGAGGAACACCUAUGGCGAAGGCAGCACUCUGGGCUGGUAUUGACGCUGAGGAGCGAAAGCAUGGGUAGCAAACAGGAUUAGAUACCCUGGUAGUCCAUGCCGUAAACGGUGGGCACUAGGUGUGGGGACUUUCAACGGUCUCCGUGCCGAAGCUAACGCAUUAAGUGCCCCGCCUGGGGAGUACGGCCGCAAGGCUA
RNAcentral lists this ribosomal RNA (550 nucleotides) under uncultured bacterium. RNAcentral describes it as "bacterial SSU rRNA". It matches the Rfam family "Bacterial small subunit ribosomal RNA", at positions 355 to 896 of the family's 1533-position model. The record is from RNAcentral.